RNAcentral lists this long non-coding RNA (301 nucleotides) under Canis lupus familiaris (dog). RNAcentral describes it as "lncRNA (ENSCAFG00000052636.1, ENSCAFG00845028978.1)". The record is from RNAcentral. Lineage: Eukaryota; Metazoa; Chordata; Mammalia; Carnivora; Canidae.
GGGGACAAACAGUAGAGGUAUACACUAAAAGUCUGGAGGCCAAGAGAUUUCAGAAAAGUUGCAGCUGUGAUCCUGCCCAGACAUUUUGGGAAGCAAGCAGCUGUCUAGUGCAGGUUUCAAUUCUUUCUAUUUGGUACCAGAGGGACCAACCGAGAUGCAUCCAAGGCCUGCUGCCUCUCCGCCUUCCACCCAUCCGUGAGCAGUGCCAGGCCUGGCUGAAUCCCAGAGUGACACAGGCGACAGUCAUGCGUGAACUAAAGGUUGUGGCAUUUGUUGUUCUGUAGAUCCACACCAUAAAAAG